This 465-nucleotide ribosomal RNA is filed under the name uncultured bacterium. Its description in RNAcentral is "partial 16S ribosomal RNA". It matches the Rfam family "Bacterial small subunit ribosomal RNA", at positions 28 to 507 of the family's 1533-position model. The record is from RNAcentral.
GACGAACGCUGGCGGCGUGCUUAACACAUGCAAGUCGAACGGAAAGGCCCCUUCGGGGGUACUCGAGUGGCGAACAGGUGAGUAACACGUGAGUAACCUGCCCUUGACUUCGGGAUAACUUCAGGAAACUGGGGCUAAUACCGGAUAGGAAUCCUUGCUGCAUGGUGGGGGUUGGAAAGCUUCGGCGGUUUUGGAUGGACUCGCGGCUUAUCAGCUUGUUGGUGGGGUAGUGGCUUACCAAGGCUUUGACGGGUAGCCGGCCUGAGAGGGCGACCGGCCACAUUGGGACUGAGAUACGGCCCAGACGCCUACGGGAGGCAGCAGGGGGGAAUAUUGCACAAUGGGCGGAAGCCUGAUGCAGCAACGCCGCGUGCGGGAUGACGGCCUUCGGGUUGUAAACCGCUUUCAGCAGGGGCGAAGCUUGUGGUGACGGUACCUGCAGAAGAAGCACCGGCUAACUACGUG